GAUGAACGCUGGCGGCGUGCUUAACACAUGCAAGUCGAACGGUGAAGCCAAGCUUGCUUGGUGGAUCAGUGGCGAACGGGUGAGUAACACGUGAGCAACCUGCCCUGGACUCUGGGAUAAGCGCUGGAAACGGCGUCUAAUACUGGAUAUGAGACGUGAUCGCAUGGUCGUGUUUGGAAAGAUUUUUCGGUCUGGGAUGGGCUCGCGGCCUAUCAGCUUGUUGGUGAGGUAAUGGCUCACCAAGGCGUCGACGGGUAGCCGGCCUGAGAGGGUGACCGGCCACACUGGGACUGAGACACGGCCCAGACUCCUACGGGAGGCAGCAGUGGGGAAUAUUGCACAAUGGGCGGAAGCCUGAUGCAGCAACGCCGCGUGAGGGAUGACGGCCUUCGGGUUGUAAACCUCUUUUAGCAGGGAAGAAGCGAAAGUGACGGUACCUGCAGAAACAGCGCCGGCUAACUACGUGCCAGCAGCCGCCGUAA
This 482-nucleotide ribosomal RNA is filed under the name uncultured bacterium. RNAcentral's name for it is "partial 16S ribosomal RNA". It matches the Rfam family "Bacterial small subunit ribosomal RNA", at positions 28 to 523 of the family's 1533-position model. The record is from RNAcentral.